This 452-nucleotide ribosomal RNA is filed under the name uncultured bacterium. Its description in RNAcentral is "bacterial SSU rRNA". It matches the Rfam family "Bacterial small subunit ribosomal RNA", at positions 354 to 796 of the family's 1533-position model. The record is from RNAcentral.
GUGGGGAAUAUUGCGCAAUGGGGGCAACCCUGACGCAGCAACGCCGCGUGAGCGAUGAAGGUCUUCGGAUUGUAAAGCUCUGUCAGUGGGAAAGAUGGGACAUCCGGUGAAUACCCGGUAUGUUUUGACGGUACCCACAAAGGAAGCACCGGCUAACUCUGUGCCAGCAGCCGCGGUAAGACAGAGGGUGCAAGCGUUGUUCGGAAUCACUGGGCGUAAAGCGCGUCUAGGCGGAGACACAAGUCUGGUGUGAAAGCCCGGGGCUUAACCCCGGAAGUGCAUUGGAAACUGUGUUUCUGGAGUCUCGGAGAGGGUGGUGGAAUUCCCAGUGUAGAGGUGAAAUUCGUAGAUAUUGGGAGGAACACCGGUGGCGAAGGCGACCACCUGGACGAUGACUGACGCUGAAGCGCGAAAGCGUGGGGAUCAAACAGGAUUAGAAACCCCAGUAGUCC